This is a long non-coding RNA of Equus caballus (horse), 1838 nucleotides long. The record is from Ensembl. Lineage: Eukaryota; Metazoa; Chordata; Mammalia; Perissodactyla; Equidae.
CAGAUGCCGGACGCCGCGCUCAGGACACAGACCCCACUCUGCAGCAGCCUGCCGCUGCCGGCAGCCAGGGCCUCCUUCCAACUCCAGCGCAAAUUUUUCGAACGUAAGAGAAGAAUACAGUCAUUAUCGGAGGUGGAGACAUUCAGAAGUUGUUCUUAAUCAGAGUGAAGCUUGUGCUUUGGAAAGUCAGCCUCACGCCUCAGCACGCACAGCAGCUGGUUCUCCAGGUUCCUCCUGGAUGAAGAAUUAGUUUCCAGCCCCCCUUUACCCUCUGACAAGUUGGAAGGAUACGUCAGCAUCUCUUAAAAGACUAGGAAGGCUCAUUUUAUACAACCUGAAAGAGCUUAAAAGUUUCUGGUUGCCACAAGCAUAUCUUUCUUUUCUGCACAUCCAAGAGACAGCUGUGCCCUGCUGGGAUAGAUUUUCCAAACAAAAAUACCCGGAGCAGCAGUUUGGGAAAUAUGCCUUCAGCGGCGCUCCACAGAUGGGGUUUCCGGAAGCACAGUACUAGUAUUACUGUUUGCUUAUAAAUGGACGUAUUCACUGCACAAAGACAAAUGUUCUCAUGCUGAGCAGAAGAGAGAUCUGGUGUUGCCUGGUCCUGCCGGAGCCCUCCGGCCCAUCACCUCCUGCCAGCCUUCCAUGCGUACCUUGCCAUGAAAAGGGAAAGAAGCUGUUUCCAAAUUCGUGAUGAAUCUUACAAUCAAUGGUAUCUGCACAAGUGUCUGUACUUUCCAAAUACAUUGAAUAAGCUCCUUUUAACUUCUUUCUUUCUUUACUGAGACCCCACAAGAGAGUGUGUUAAUCACAUUAAUAUUAUUGGUACUAGAACCGUGACCUAAGCUUACAAGUCACCUUCAAACAAAUUUUAUGCAGCCAAGAAUUAGGCUUUAACUGCCACCAUAAAGCUUGCCUUAAGGGAAAACACUCUUGAUAAAAAUCUAAAUACACGCAAAUCAAAGAGUCUACUUUUCCACUGCAAUUAUUUGUCUCAGUUUCUCAGUAGUAACUAAUCUGCUAAUUAGAACUAACAAACCUUGGAUUCUGAAAUGGACUUCCAAAGUUUUUGUGCAACUAAAUGACCAGCAAUAAAGGACCUGGCUGUAAUUGCAAAGCUGAAUUAUUAACACAUGCUCUUCUUUUCUUUAUUCUGGAAAAUGUAAAGUUUUGCCCCAAUUUAGGAUGCCUAAUCAGCUGUUAUAAAAGUUUCUUGAUCAAAAAAUUGGUUUAUAUUUUGGAUUUUAUCUGAAAUAAUAUAAAUAUGACUUGGUAUAAUGAAAGAGUAAUGAUUGAAAUAAUUGACAUUAACCAUGAUUCCAUAGAUUUGAGGGUCUGCCUUGUUUUGUAAACCUGGUCAUCAAUUCUCCUGAACGUUAUCAGUUAAAAAACAGAAAAAAGAUAUGACCAUUUUACAAAGACAACUAUCCAACUAAGGACCUUGGGUUCUGAAUCAAAUGUCUCUCCUCCAGUAUAAGAAAGACCGAUCCAGGUAGAAGUGUCUGUAUGAAGAGACAUACAUAUAUAAAUUAAGAGACAUACAUAUAUAAAUGCUGUGAUUUUUGCUAUAUAUGUAAAUGUAAUAAAAACUGUAUCAUUCUUGGGGUAUCGUUAACCAUUAAAGUCCAAAUUCAGACUUGACCGAGUGAAGAGAAAUCGUAAGCAAUUAUCCAGCAGUGGGAAAAGACAGAACUCGGCACUGCAAAAUCUGGGGUGAAGUCCCUACUCAGUCCCUUAUUAACUCAGAGAACUUGGGUUAGUCACCUAAUCCCUCUAAGGCUCAUUUUCCACAUCUGUCAAUUAAGAAUAAUAUGUUGCUUGAGAGGGUGUUUGGGGAUUCA